This 825-nucleotide ribosomal RNA is filed under the name Baltazaria octopodites. Its description in RNAcentral is "LSU rRNA". It matches the Rfam family "Eukaryotic large subunit ribosomal RNA", at positions 72 to 923 of the family's 3401-position model. The record is from RNAcentral. Lineage: Eukaryota; Fungi; Basidiomycota; Agaricomycetes; Agaricales.
GGAUUCCCCUAGUAACUGCGAGUGAAGCGGGAAGAGCUCAAAUUUAAAAUCUGGCGGCCUCGCCGUCCGAGUUGUAAUUUAGAGAAGCGUUUUCCGCGCCGAGCCGUGUACAAGUCUCCUGGAACGGAGCGUCAUAGAGGGUGAGAAUCCCGUCUUUGACACGGAACCCCCGGGGCUCUGUGAUGCGCCCUCGAAGAGUCGAGUUGUUUGGGAAUGCAGCUCAAAAUGGGUGGUGAACUCCAUCUAAAGCUAAAUAUUGGCGAGAGACCGAUAGCGAACAAGUACCGUGAGGGAAAGAUGAAAAGCACUUUGGAAAGAGAGUGAAACAGUACGUGAAAUUGCUGAAAGGGAAACGCUUGAAGUCAGUCGCGUCCGUCGGAAUUCAGCCCUCGUGGUGUACUUUCCGGCGGACGGGCCAGCAUCACUUUUGGUCGUCGGAUAAUGGCGGGGGAAAAGUGGCACCUCCGGGUGUGUUAUAGUCCCUCGUCGAAUACGGUGGCCGGGAGUGAGGACCGCCUUUUUGCAGGAUGCUGGCGUAAUGGCUUUAAACGACCCGUCUUGAAACACGGACCAAGGAGUCUAACAUGCCCGCGAGUGUUCGGGUGGAAAACCCGUGCGCGUAAUGAAAGUGAAAGUUGGGAGGGCUGCCGCGGCCUGCACCGACGCCCGGACCUGAGGCUUGCCGACGGUUCUGCGGUAGAGCGUGUAUGUUGGGACCCGAAAGAUGGUGAACUAUGCCUGAAUAGGGUGAAGCCAGAGGAAACUCUGGUGGAGGCUCGUAGCGAUUCUGACGUGCAAAUCGAUCGUCAAAUUCGGGUAUAGGGG